This 22-nucleotide microRNA is filed under the name Mus musculus (house mouse). RNAcentral's name for it is "mmu-miR-6376". Lineage: Eukaryota; Metazoa; Chordata; Mammalia; Rodentia; Muridae. The record is from miRBase by way of RNAcentral.
CAGUGUGGCCAAUUGGAGAUUA